AGAGUUUGAUCCUGGCUCAGAACGAACGUUGGCGGCGUGGAUUAGGCAUGCAAGUCGAACGAGAACCCAGGGGCUUGCUCUUGGGGGAAAGUGGCGAAAGGGGCAGUAAGGCGUGGGUAACCUACCCUGGGGACCGGGACAUUCCUGUAAUAGGGGUAAAUACCGGGCGAUGUCGCCGAGGCGCAUGUUUUGGCGAUGAG
RNAcentral lists this ribosomal RNA (200 nucleotides) under uncultured bacterium. Its description in RNAcentral is "partial 16S ribosomal RNA". It matches the Rfam family "Bacterial small subunit ribosomal RNA", at positions 8 to 205 of the family's 1533-position model. The record is from RNAcentral.